CAUAGACAGUUUCCUAGAAUCAGGCUCCCGUGACUAAAAUACAUAGUUCAUCUCCUAAAGUCUUUAACUUUUAUUUUGAAUAUAGAAACAAAACUCAAAUAUAUUUAAUAAACUGUCUAUUUUUAAGUAUUAACUUACACAUACAGUAAACAAAUUAUUUUAUUUAGAAAUAACUUGUAUGUACUAUGGAUGCAGUAGUUAAUAUUUUAUAAAGUAUAUGAGGUAUGUAUAUUAGAAUAAGAUAACAUGGAAAUAAUUACUCAUUAUUUAGAAAAUGAAACGAUUUAAUAUUUAACCGUAACACCCAAAAUAGAAUAAUAGCUUUCAGAACAAGAAAUCAUUAUCGCGUCUGUAUAAUAGAUUUGUAACCUAAUUUAUUUCAUGAAUCUUUUGGUUAUCAAUAAUCGACGUGAUUGGACACAAUUGAGUUAUAAUUUAUAUAAUUGUGAUUUGUGAAUACGUGGUUAUGAUGAAACGAACAAGUAAAAUAACAGCAAUUUUUCAGAAAAGAUCUAAGAAUACAAAAGACAACGGUAACGAAAAUGAAAACGUACAACCAAAAUCAUCAACAUAAGAAGUAAUAUACAUUACCACCCAUUCAAAUAAAUCACACGAUCGCGUGUCAAUAACAAAUUUAAAUUUGAUUGAACAGUUUAUACCGAUAAAAGAGUUUGUUUUUCCUAAAACAAGUGGAAGAUCUUGUCAAUCAAAAUAUGUCUAAAUUUUGAAAAUGUUAGGGGACUUUGUUUCGAUAUAGCUGCCAAUAUGUCUGAAGUAUGAAUUAGUGGAGUGCAAAAACGAAUUUCUGAAGUUCAACCCAAAUAUAUUUUAUUCAUUGGACUUGGCUUUAUGUGAUACUAUUAAGACUGUAGAUUUAGCCAAUGACACUCUAAAUUUAGUAAGAUUUGUAAGCAUUACCAUACUAGAUUUAGCAAAACGAAAAAAUAAGUUUUCCGAUGUUGUUCUCCCUUCCUCUUCAAAUGAUGAAAAUAUUCAUGAACACCAAAAUAAUGCCAGGAAUUUUUUCGCUUUGUCCAACACUAUGGACAGUUCGAGUAAAAGCGAUUAACAGAUUUAUACAAAACUAUGAAUGAAUUAUUUUAACGGUUGGAGAUAUUUUAAAAGAAUCAAAUUCAAUUGCUUAAGACAGACAUGCAUCUCUACGAGGAUAUGAGAUAAAGCUUUGGAAAUUCGAAACUCUCUUUUCGCUAAACUCUAUAUCAUUAAUUUUUGGUCCAUGUGAACAAUUAGCUACUGCACUACAAUGCCCAUCGUAUGCUGCUAGUGGUGCAAAACAUACAUUUAAUAUAUUAAUUAAAACUCUUGAAACUUUUCACAAUGAUUUGGUUUUUGAUGAUGUUUGGAAUAAAACAAAACAACAAACCGCCGAUCACCUCGAUCUUGAGUUACCCCAACCAUUCAGAACUCGAAAGGUUCUUGCUAGAUUUGAGUAUUCAGUAAUACUUCCAGCUAACAUCGACGGAAAAACAUUUUUAAGAAAAGAAUAAUUUUCUUUAAUUGAUUGUCUACUUCAAGAAUACACAGGAGGUUUACUCAGUCUGGUUUUGAGAAACUAGUA
This is a long non-coding RNA of Daktulosphaira vitifoliae (grape phylloxera), 1579 nucleotides long. RefSeq lists it as uncharacterized. The transcript has 2 exons. Lineage: Eukaryota; Metazoa; Arthropoda; Insecta; Hemiptera; Phylloxeridae. The record is from RefSeq and is a predicted model, not a curated record.